AUACGAAUGGAGCAAGCGUUGUUCGGAAUCACUGGGCGUAAAGCGUACGUAGGCGGAUUUUUAAGUCAGAAGUGAAAGCCCAGGGCUCAACCCUGGAACUGCUUUUGAAACUGGAAGUCUAGAGUCCCGGAGAGGUUAGGGGAAUUCCGAGUGUAGCAGUGAAAUGCGCAGAUAUUCGGAGGAACACCAGUGGCGUAGGCGCCUAACUGGACGGGAACUGACGCUGAGGUACGAAAGCGUGGGGAGCAAACGGGAUUAGAUACCCUAGUAGUCC
Molecule: ribosomal RNA, 274 nt
Filed under: uncultured bacterium
Lineage: Bacteria
Description: partial 16S ribosomal RNA
Rfam family: Bacterial small subunit ribosomal RNA
Source: RNAcentral